UACGAAGGGGGCUAGCGUUGCUCGGAAUCACUGGGCGUAAAGCGCACGUAGGCGGCUUGUUAAGUCAGGGGUGAAAUCCUGGAGCUCAACUCCAGAACUGCCUUUGAUACUGGCGAGCUUGAGUUCGGGAGAGGUGAGUGGAACUGCGAGUGUAGAGGUGAAAUUCGUAGAUAUUCGGAAGAACACCAGUGGCGAAGGCGGCUCACUGGCCCGGUACUGACGCUGAGGCGCGAAAGCGUGGGGAGCGAACAGG
RNAcentral lists this ribosomal RNA (253 nucleotides) under uncultured bacterium. Its description in RNAcentral is "partial 16S ribosomal RNA". It matches the Rfam family "Bacterial small subunit ribosomal RNA", at positions 524 to 776 of the family's 1533-position model. The record is from RNAcentral.